GCCGAAAUAGCUCAGUUAGGAGAGCGUUAGACUGAAAUAUCUAAAAGUCCCUGGUUCGAUCCCGGGUUUCGGCA
RNAcentral lists this transfer RNA (74 nucleotides) under Cordylochernes scorpioides. RNAcentral's name for it is "tRNA-Phe". It matches the Rfam family "tRNA". From Rfam's summary of the family: Transfer RNA (tRNA) molecules are approximately 80 nucleotides in length. Their secondary structure includes four short double-helical elements and three loops (D, anti-codon, and T loops). Further hydrogen bonds mediate the characteristic L-shaped molecular structure. tRNAs have two regions of fundamental functional importance: the anti-codon, which is responsible for specific mRNA codon recognition, and the 3' end, to which the tRNAs corresponding amino acid is attached (by aminoacyl-tRNA synthetases). tRNAs cope with the degeneracy of the genetic code in two manners: having more than one tRNA (with a specific anti-codon) for a particular amino acid; and 'wobble' base-pairing, i.e. permitting non-standard base-pairing at the 3rd anti-codon position. Lineage: Eukaryota; Metazoa; Arthropoda; Arachnida; Pseudoscorpiones; Chernetidae. The record is from RNAcentral.